GUUAACGCGAGAUUCCUCCGACUGUCAACAAAGAAAGCCCCGUGUAGCAUUCAAGCUAGCUGCUCCAUCCUACAGUAUACAAGCAAAGACUCGUAGAAAGACUGGGACUGUAACGCGCGGCGGUGCUUCGGCGUGGAGACAGAGAGAAGAAGCCUCCACGCUUCCCUCAACGUGACUUUCGCCGAUGUCCACGUUUUCAUGUCGGCUCGUCGUUGUCUGCGGCUCUGUGUCUGCACCGAGAUGAAUGGCAUCAUGUCGGGAUGACAGGAAGAUGGCAAACGGGGUUGGAAAACACAAGCUGCACGUCAUCGGACCCACGGAGCCAUGGUCAGUGAGGGAGAAGCUGUGUUUGGCCACAUCUGUCAUGAAGAGCGGACACCAGAACUGGGUAUCUGUCAGUCGAGCCAUCAAACCAUUUGCAGAACCUGGGCGGCCACCUGACUGGUUCUCUCAGAAGCACUGCGCCUCAAAGUAUUCUGAGCUCCUGGAAGCAACAGACGCCCCAAAGAGGAAGCGGGGUGAGAAAGGUGAAGUGGUGGAGACGGUGGAAGACGUGAUCGUGCGCAGGCUGACGACCGACCGGAUCGAUGAACUCAAAAAGCGAAUCAAAGAAACUCAGGACAAGCACAGGAAGCUGAAGCGAGAGGCUGAGCUGAUCAAAGCAGGACAUCUAGAUUCCAAACUAGAAGAGCUAUGGGAGGGAAUACGGCAGAAGAAGAAAGCGGAGGAGGAAGAAGCCGAGUGGAAAAGAAAAAACACAGAUGCUGCUUUUCAGGCCAGAAAGGUGGCAAAGGGCACAACCAAGCGAGUGCCCGACGUGUAUGUGCCCGACGUGUAUUCGCCCUCAGGCUGCGGCUCCCCGAACCAGGAGUUCUCUCCAGGUGCCCCCCUCGAGAGCUUGACCCUGGAUCUUGGAUCUCUUAAGAAUGCUUCGGGAUCGUCCAGGUUCAUGACAUUCUCGGAGUCUUCUGGACUUGCUAUUGAAGACAUCAACCAGGCGUCACUCCUGGACGAACUCGCCCAAAAGAAGCUCCUGUGCCAGAAGGCCACACCACCCCCGUCUCCACUCUUGUCAGAGUUACUGAAGAAAGGCAACAUCUUGGCCUCUAAUUCCAGACUGAUCGGUGAUGGUGACGUGUCCUCUGGUAACAUGAUCGCAGCACAUGACUUGCAGCUGGCUCUGCCGAGUCAACCUCUCUCUCAGGCAACAGGUGCCCCCAUGUUGUCCCGUCUUUUGGAGGCGGGUCCCACGCAGUUAACUGCUCCAUUAAGUUUCAUGGUCGGCACCAACUCAGUCUCGAGCUGUCCUCUCUCGGCUGGCUCGCUUCUUCCUGUUGACUCCACUGCCUCAGCGAGUACAGAGGAUAAAGUGUCAGGUCUCUGUGAGGAAGACGAGACAGUCUCCUACAUGGGAGAUGAGCUGGACCUCAAGACUGUGGGGGACAUUAUUGCAAUCAUUGAAGACAAGGCCGAUGAGGCUGCUGAUGCUUUGGAUGCCGCUGCAGUCGAGGCUGCCCUGUCCCUGUGCGAAGAGAAUGGCCACGCACUGGUGUCUGGUGCCUGGGAAGCUGGGCCUUUCCAACCACAUGACUCUAAUCACAUAGUGCCCACAGGGGUUCCACAGGCAUCAUCUCUUCUCUGUAGCCUGGGGGGGGAGACAGUCGUGUCAGAAGUCCAAGAUGAGACCUCAGCUUCACUCUCUUCUCUGUGCAACAGUCAAAAUCACUGUCUCGCAGUGUUCCCUAUGGGAUUAAGGAGGGCUCCUAUCAGCUGCUCGUCCUCAUUCAACUCGAGAAGUUUGGAGCACUGCCCCACCGGAGCAGCUCCACGGCCCGAGGCCAUGAGAGAAACUGGAAAGGUGAUGCACCCGAAAAGCCAAAUUUCCUCGGUUGUUGCCAUAAAACGUGAGAGUGAGAAGUGGACACAGCUAAGACCUACUCAAGCACAUGGAGAGUUGGUAUUAGAAGAUAGACCACAGACAGAAAGGCAUCCCAAGGUGAUGAAGGCAGAGAACGGAAUCAGUGUCGGGCGAGUAGAGAAUGCCUCAAGCUCCAGAGUGGACGAUGAGAUCAACGGGCCAGAAGCGUGCGGGGAGGAGGAGGGCGACGGGGUCGAGGGAUUCUUGUCAGAGCCAGACGGCGACAUGGAUCUGGAGCCCGCGGCCAGUGAGAGUGAGGACGGAUACAGCCUCCACACGGCGUCCUCAUCACUGCAGCUCCACACGACCGCAGACUCCAUCCCCAGCAGCCCGGCCUCCUCGCAGUUCUCUGUGUGCAGCGAGGACUUAGAAGCUCUACAGGCUCACAAAAUCUGGAAGAAAGCCAUUAUGCUGGUGUGGCGUGCAGCAGCCAAUCACAGGUACGCGAAUGUCUUCCUGCAGCCAGUAACCGAUGAUAUUGCACCAGGGUAUCACAGUAUCGUGCAAAGGCCCAUGGACCUGGCUACCAUCAAAAAGAACAUAGAGAAUGGUUUGAUCCGGACGACCGCCGAGUUCCAGAGGGACAUCAUGCUGAUGUUUCAGAACGCUGUCAUGUACAACAGCAUGGAUCACGACGUGUACCACAUGGCGCUGGAGAUGCAGCGUGACGUCCUGGAGCAGAUUCAGCAGUUUCUAGCCACCCAGCUCAUCAUGGAGACGUCCGAGGCCGGCAUCAGCGCCAAGAGUCUGAGGGGCCGUGAGAGCACACGCAAACAGGACUCGACUGACAAGGUGCUUCACUAGAAUUUUGACAAAAGCAGAGAGUACAGAAGAAGAGACAAGGGACACUGUCUCCAUGUCUUCUCCUGCCUUCCUCCUUUCUCUUUUUGAUGGAGGCACCAGGGGGCGCCGGUGUGCCAUAGAAGCUGACCUCAAGAUGAAGAAAUGAACACAUAGUAUGAACAUUUUGCACAACGGCGUCCCUGCGUUGUACUGACAGGUGUGAUACCAUAAGACUGAACUUUAUCCUCUUGAUAGUUGCACAGAUUCUCACUCUGCAUAACGUGCAGUGUAACCUUUAUUUGCACUCUUGAUUAUAUGGGUAGACUGAAAUGUGGAGAAGAUCCUUUACUAUGAGACAGCCAUACAGACAUGGAUUACAUACUGUGUAAUCCCAGAUUACAAUGGGACGUUCAGAUAGACUAGGUCAAACCCUGCAUAGACGUAGCUACAGAUCCCUCAGACUUAGCCUGCUCUGAAUUUCAUCAGGUUACAUAAGCGAAGAAGGAAAGUUCCUCCUCGUCACCAAGUGGGCUGAAAAUAAAUCUGCAGGAGGAGGAAUGGUUCAACUCCAGAUCCGUGUUCUUGAUUUCGAUCUCAUGUAAAGCCAGAGGCCAAAGACUCUCAUUAAUCUAAUACUCUGAUCAGUCUGAGUGGUUUCAAAUUUAAACACUUUCAUUGCUGUUACAAACUAUUUUCCUUUUUUAAUUUUUUAAUUUUCAAACUUAAUGUUUGUGAUGAGUUUGUUUUAAUUGUGGUACACUUCCUGCGAAAGUACCUCCAUGCAUUCUCUCGUUGUUUACAGUGUUUUUGAAGACAAAAAAAAAAAAAAAACGGUCUUGUUAAGAAUCUGUUUUGUGAACUUUAAAAUGUUGAAACAAUAAAAACUGUAUUAAGUGCCCCCCGAAUCUACGAUGUUCUGCUUGAAUUGGACAAAAUGUUUCCACAGUGCCAACUCAAAACAAUCCAGACCACUUCAGUAACUUGCAAUUUAACGUUGAUGUUUCAGAGAUGUUUUUUUUGUUCAAAUAUUCCUUUGGGGAAUCUUAGUUUUUAUAUCCAUUUUUUUUAAAUGUGUGUCUGAUUUGCCUAAUUUGUGGGGGAGCAGAUUUUCCUCUGGGUCGGGUUCGGGAUUUGUAUCUGUAUUGCACAAAAUUGUUCAGUUACAUGAGCGUUGCAAGAAAAUAUAAGUUACAUCUGUUGUUUCCUAUACCAUUUCAUUUUUGAACUGUUGUUACUAAGCACUGUGGUUGUACAAAGAGGAAACAGCAUCUUCCACAAAGCUGCCACUCUGGUAUAAUAGUUUUUUCCAUGUUCAGUGUUAUGUAAAUUGGCCUCAUCAAUAAAACUCCAUUCAUAGUUUU
RNA transcript from Platichthys flesus (European flounder), 4062 nucleotides. It is a transcript of the gene named bromodomain-containing protein 8-like, with no coding region annotated. The record is from RefSeq and is a predicted model, not a curated record. Lineage: Eukaryota; Metazoa; Chordata; Actinopteri; Pleuronectiformes; Pleuronectidae. The transcript has 20 exons.